Molecule: non-coding RNA, 1672 nt
Organism: Callorhinus ursinus (northern fur seal)
Lineage: Eukaryota; Metazoa; Chordata; Mammalia; Carnivora; Otariidae
Source: RefSeq, a predicted model, not a curated record
UGCUGCUCCUGCCGCCCAGGGGGGAAACAUGGCGUCUGCCCUGGAGCAAUUCGUGAACAGUGUCCGACAGCUCUCGGAUCAAGGGCAAAUGACUCAGCUUUGUGAACUGAUCAACAAGAGUGGGGAACUCCUUGCAAAGAACUUAUCCCAUCUGGACACUGUGCUCGGGGCUCUGGAUGUACAAGAGCACUCCUUAGGCGUCCUUGCUGUUUUAUUUGUGAAGUUUUCCAUGCCUAGUGUUCCUGACUUCGAAACGUUAUUCUCACAGGUUCAGCUUUUCAUCAGCACUUGUAACGGGGAGCACAUCUGAUACGCAACAGACACUUUUGCUGGGCUUUGCCAUCAGCUGACAAACGCACUUGUGGAAAGGAAACAGCCUCUCUGAGGAAUUGGCAUCCUAAAGCAAGCCAUAGACAAGAUGCAGAUGAAUACAAACCAGCUGACCUCAAUACACGCAGAUCUCUGCCAGCUUUGUUUGCUGGCAAAAUGCUUUAAGCCUGCCCUUCCAUACCUUGAUGUGGACAUGAUGGAUAUCUGUAAAGAGAAUGGAGCCUAUGAUGCAAAGCACUUUUUAUGUUACUAUUAUUAUGGAGGGAUGAUCUAUACCGGGCUGAAGAACUUCGAAAGAGCACUGUACUUUUAUGAACAGGCUGUAACUACUCCUGCCAUGGCGGUCAGUCACAUCAUGUUGGAAUCCUAUAAAAAGUAUAUUCUAGUUUCUUUGAUAUUACUUGGAAAAGUACAACAGCUACCGAAAUAUAUGUCUCAAAUUGUGGGUAGAUUCAUUAAGCCUCUUAGCAAUGUGUACCAUGAGUUAGCACAAGUCUAUUCAACCAAUAAUCCCUCAGAACUCCGCAACCUGGUGAACAAGCACAGUGAGACUUUUACUCGUGAUAACAACCCGGGGCUGGUGAAGCAAUGCCUGUCUUCUCUUUAUAAGAAGAAUAUUCAAAGGCUAACCAAGACCUUUUUAACAUUAUCAUUACAAGAUAUGGCAAGUCGUGUGCAGUUAUCUGGACCUCAGGAGGCAGAGAAAUAUGUCUUACACAUGAUAGAGGAUGGUGAAAUUUUUGCAAGUAUUAAUCAGAAGGACGGUAUGGUCAGUUUCCAUGAUAACCCUGAAAAAUUUAAUAAUCCAGCCAUGCUUCAUAACAUCGACCAGGAGAUGCUGAAGUGCAUAGAGCUGGAUGAGCGACUGAAGGCCAUGGACCAGGGGAUCACAGUGAACCCCCAGUUUGUACAAAAGAGCAUGGGAUCACAAGAAGAUGAUUCUGGAAACAAACCAUCUAGUUACUCUUGAAACUAACAUCCAUCCUGAGUUAGAUGAGAGAAAUUUAUCACCUUGGCCAGUGGCAAGUGUUAGGAGGGCAGCAGGGAAGACCAAGCCUGUUUGACCUGGACAUUGAGAGAUUACAUUUUGUUUUGACAUCUUCAGUCCUAUGUGCUUUAAGAAAACCAUUCUCUCUGCCAAGAAAGGAAAAAAAAAAAAUUCAAACUUUAAAGUCUGUUUUGGAUUUAUUUAUCCUCAGAUUAAUGUUGUUAUUGCAUUAAAUCUACCUUUUUGUUUAAAAAAAAAUGAAACUAAGUUUCAUGAUCAGCUGUAUCCUAUAAAUAAGUGGUAGAGCCAGGGUGGGUAUUCUCAAAACCACAAAAUCAUAGUGGUCCCAACUAU